ACAUGAGGACGACCUCACCAUCUUGGUCACCAUACGGGACGGCCCGG
Molecule: non-coding RNA, 47 nt
Filed under: Celeribacter halophilus
Lineage: Bacteria; Pseudomonadati; Pseudomonadota; Alphaproteobacteria; Rhodobacterales; Roseobacteraceae
Description: Guanidine-II sequence
Rfam family: Guanidine-II riboswitch aptamer (mini-ykkC)
About the family: Simpler in structure and has fewer highly conserved nucleotide positions than the ykkC-yxkD leader.
Source: Rfam by way of RNAcentral